RNAcentral lists this ribosomal RNA (274 nucleotides) under uncultured bacterium. RNAcentral's name for it is "partial 16S ribosomal RNA". It matches the Rfam family "Bacterial small subunit ribosomal RNA", at positions 523 to 796 of the family's 1533-position model. The record is from RNAcentral.
AUACGGAGGGUGCAAGCGUUACUCGGAAUCACUGGGCGUAAAGCGCGCGCAGGCGGUUUGAUAAGUUGGAUGUGAAAUCCUAUGGCUCAACCAUAGAACUGCAUCCAAAACUGUCAAACUAGAGUCUGGGAGAGGAAGAUGGAAUUAGUUGUGUAGGGGUAAAAUCCGUAGAGAUAACUAGGAAUACCAAAAGCGAAGGCGAUCUUCUGGAACAGUACUGACGCUGAGGCGCGAAAGCGUGGGGAGCAAACAGGAUUAGAAACCCGAGUAGUCC